Molecule: long non-coding RNA, 978 nt
Organism: Anas platyrhynchos (mallard)
Lineage: Eukaryota; Metazoa; Chordata; Aves; Anseriformes; Anatidae
Source: RefSeq, a predicted model, not a curated record
GAUCUCCCAGGGCUGCAAGCCUUUAAAAGAAGCAGGAUCUCCUUUUUCAGGGUUUUUGUGUCAACACAGCUCUAUGUCUUGCUGCACCAGGUGAAGCAGGUUAGCAGAGGUGCUGGGAGUUGAAGCAGUAUGUAUUUGUGGAGGCACAGUCACUCAGUGAUGCCCAGUGCUGCAGUAGCUUUGGAAAGAUUUGGAGCUUCAGAGGCUGCUGUUUCCCUGAGAUGAUUCAGGGUGAAGUGGUGGAAUUCCCUGCAAGACCCUGAUGCCUGCUGGCUGGCAUGAGAAGGACCUACACAUCUGGGAAAUGGAGUUCCAGGUUCAAUUGCUCUCCACUUUAAAGGCAAGAUCCUGAACAUUCCACAUUGCUGACCCUGGAUUUUAUUUUUUUCUUUUUCAUUGUAUAUGACAUUGGACCAGAGGUAUAUUUGCCUGACUUCCCACUCUCACUGUCUCACUAGCUGAACUAUAGACAUGAGUUCAUAACCCUUAUUUAGAACAAGUGGAUUUGAGCUUUGAACAGAAAUUCCUCACAUACCAAGAGACUUCGCAGGUGAAGGUUUAUUCUGCAGUGCAGCAGAUUGCUUGUGAAAAUAGUUUGAAAAAACUUCUGCUCUUCUAUAAUGAACUGAGGAGGAGUUUCCAACCAUUGGAAGCUCCAGAGUGGAGCUCUAGAAAAGCCUUCUGAAAGGACAGGUGGACCAAAGAGUUCAUCUGUUUCAGAGUUUCAUCCUUACACAAUAUCAAAAAAGAUCUAAUACUAUGUUUUUAUAAACACACUUAUUGAACCAUACCUUAUUUUGCACAUUGGCUUAUUUUGGAUAAAAACAACAACAACAACAAAAAAAAACACUGUUGUCUCUUCCUAGUCUUUCUGACCACAAAGCAUAAAAAGUCAUUAUGUUGUUUAUUAUUAGUAUUUUUUUUUCUUUGAAACCAGCUGUGCUGUGUCAAUUAUCUGUUUUGUAAUAUGCUUAUAAG